This is an RNA transcript of Talpa occidentalis (Iberian mole), 1097 nucleotides long. It is a transcript of the gene named C-X9-C motif containing 2, with no coding region annotated. The transcript is spliced from 7 exons. NCBI's taxonomy places the organism in Eukaryota, Metazoa, Chordata, Mammalia, Eulipotyphla, Talpidae. The record is from RefSeq and is a predicted model, not a curated record.
GUUUGCUCUGCUGUGCUCCAUCACCUUCACCUAAAGAUGCAUCCUGACUUAUCUCCACACUUGCACACUGAAGAAUGCAACGUCUUGAUUAACUUGCUUAAGGAAUGUCACAAAAAUCACAGCAUUCUGAAAUUUUUUGGCCAUUGCAAUGAUCUUGACCGGGAGAUGAGAAAAUGCUUGAAGAAAGAGUACAUGGAAAAGAGGACCAAGAGCAGGGAGCGUGGCAAUGCAAUGCGAAAGAGAAUUUUUAAUCCUGCAGAGGAAUCUGAAAAAUAAGAUUAUAUUUUCAUUGGAUACCUAAGAGAAGAUCUAAAGACUCUUACUUGAUAGCUGAAAGAAUCCUAUCUCCAGAAUCCUCUGAAUGGAAAGUGACCCAUGUGAAAUCAAGCCAUGGAGGAGUUCAGAAAGUCUGGGUUCUCAGUAUUCAUGGGGCAGCAAAUCUAACUUCUAACAUGUUUCUUUCUACUGCCUACAACUAGAUAACAUUCAAGGCCUUAUUUUUUUACAACAAACUUCAUGAAUCCAAAAUGACUAUUUCAGGCUGUGUCGAGAGUCAGAAUACUACUAUAAUGGCAAAGAGUUUGGAGUCAGACAGACCUACAUCCAGGCCCAGCUCUGUCAUCUAUGAGUUCUGGUGAUGGAGGGCAAAUUUACUUAAACUUUCUGAACCUCAGUUUCUUCAACUGUAAAAUGGGAAUAAUUCCAGUACCUAUUUCAUGAAGUAAUGGAGUUGAAAACGCAGAAGUUCAAUUGCAAAUAUUUACCUCGUUUCCUUUUGAACUUGUCUUCUCAAUCUCCCCCUGGAGGAGAGUGAGAUGUGAAAACCAGGCUUCAGGACCAUCUGAUUGAUUGAGCACCAUAGCAAAAGAUUUACACAGAGAAGAAGAAUGAGGCUAGGACCCUGCUCUCAAAGAACUCGUCAUGAAGCCUGCCAAGUUUUCAGCAUUGUUUGGGAUCGUGAAGUGAAUGAAUCAAGAAACACUAGACGCAAGGAAACAGAAGGAAAAAGCAAAAUAAACUAUUAAAUCCAGGAUGGCCCAGAUAUUGGAUUUGGACAAUGAACACUGUAUAGGAGCUAUUAUACAGGUAAUCUUGAC